AUCAAAUCACCAGACAGAUAGGAAGCCCCGUCAGUUCUUUAUCGUCCAUAAUCUGGCAAGAUUUUAGGUUAGCCGCAAGAAAUUUGUCAUGGAAAUCAAAGAUAGACACAAAGGAGAGGGGAAUUCAAGUGAUAUGAACACUUUGACUCUUUCAGACAAGACUGGGUUUGCUUCAGCUACUGUUACAACAUUUCAGAUAAGUGAGCCUCAAAGCAAACGAGAGCCAUCUGCGUGCUGUGUUCGGCUGGCCCUCACCGUCUACCUGCUGCUCCUGACGGCUGGCCAAGCGCUGCUGGCAUACAAAGUCUUUAAGAUGGAGAGAGAGAUGUCAAAAAUUCAAGGAAAAAAUACCUCCUACUCAGAAGAGAUGUUGGAAAGCUCCUUUGCAGAAAAACUUCUUUUGAAGAAGAACUACAUAGAGAGGGACAUGACACCUGAAAAAGACUGGAUGAGAAGCUUAGAAGAGGAAAUCAACAUAAUUAAAAACAGCAAUGAAAACAUGAUGAUGAUGAUGAACAACAUCACCCUGGCUGCAGGGCGUCCUGGGAGCAAAGGAGAUCCUGGUCCACCAGGUGCCAAAGGAGAGAAAGGAAGUCAAGGUGAAAAAGGACGGCCAGGAGAGGCAGGCGAGAAGGGAGACGUGGGUCCCAAAGGACCACCUGGAAACAAAGGAGAACCUGGGUCACAGGGAAAGGGGCUCCCAGGACAGAAAGGUGAAAAAGGUGAUCCAGGGGAAAAGGGUGUCCAAGGUCCUCCUGGUGCAGUCAGUACCUUGAAAGGAGAGAAAGGUUCAGCUGGAAGGGAUGGAUCUCCAGGAGCACCAGGAGCACCUGGCAUUCCAGGAGAGAAAGGAGACAAGGGAGACACAGGGCCGAAAGGGCCACCGGGGAUGAAGGGAGACCCAGGAAUCCAAGGCUUACAAGGACUUCAGGGUGUGAAGGGAAGUAAAGGAGACUCUGGUCCUGCUGGCCCACGUGGUGAACCAGGAAUAAGAGGAGAAAAAGGAGAGAUGGGUCCUGCAGGUCUCCAAGGACAGAAAGGUGAAAUGGGCAAGAAAGGAGAUCCUGGGCCCCAUGGACCUAUUGGCCCUCAGGGGCAUCGGGGAGACACAGGACUGCCAGGUUUCAAUGGUAGGGUGGGGGAGCCUGGACCUCCUGGGCAGAAAGGAGAGGCAGGUUUAACUGGAGGACGUGGCCCCCCGGGAAUUCCUGGCUUCGAUGGCAGACCUGGUCAGAAAGGGGAGAAGGGGGCCCCAGGUAUCAACGGUAGUCCAGGAACUGCAGGCGAGAGGGGACCUCAAGGUGAAAAGGGAGACAGAGGUUUUCCAGGACUAAAAGGAACAAAGGGAGACCAGGGCCUACAAGGCCGUCCGGGCCUACCUGGUGAAAAAGGAAGAAAGGGGGAUUACGGCAGUCCUGGCCCAAAAGGGGCAGCAGGGGCCAAAGGAGCCAAAGGAGAUGCUGGACUUACUGGCUACCUCAAUAAUGUUAUACGAAUUGCUGGAGGGGGCAGCAGGGGUCGCGUGGAAAUCCUUCACAACGGCUCCUGGGGAACAAUAUGUGACGAUAGCUGGGACAGUAGAGAUGCCACCGUGGUCUGCCGCAUGCUGGGAUACAGUCGCGCAAUCAGCACCUUCACAGCCAGCGCAGGCACUGGAGAAAUCUGGCUUGAUGAAGUUAACUGCAGAGGGAAUGAACGUUCAAUUCUCGACUGCGCAAAACCAAGCUGGGGUUUGCACAACUGCUCACACAACGAGGAUGCUGGGGUGGAGUGCGCUUGAUGGACUUGGGAGCUGCCCUCGUAAACGGCUGCCCAGCCUGCGCUGUACAUGGUGCUGCUGUCUGUCUGUUCUUAUGACAUUAUUCUUUUCACCUGUUAAUUAAAUUUUCCACAGAUCAGUAACAGUCACCAGAUCUGCAGGUCAUCCAGAAAAUCCCAGCUGCCACAGCAGGAUGUGAGCUCAGACACAUGAUCUGACUCACAGCUCUACAAGUGACCUGUGCUUAUGUGUGGGACUUCUCAGUCCACAGCAAAGGAGGGAUGGUGUGUUUUAGCUUAGCCAGCAGUAAGAGAGACCAGGUUAAGAGUGUGGGAAAGAAGUUACUAUGACUUAGUUGACCUAGUGCCUGCAUUCCAGUAUCCUGAUCAUGAAUCUGAGCCUAAAACUCCCCGUGAAGUGCAUAUACUCAAGACAGCAGAUGCUCAGAAAUCAUCAGCUGAUCUAACUGGCAUGCAAAUGUGACUGUGCUCCAGAGGAGAAGGAUGAUCACAAGUUGAAGCACAAAAGGUCUCGGGCUUCAGAAAAGAAGUCUAGAAAAUUCCUAGUGUUUUCCACUGUCCACUUUGAUGCCUUUGGCAGCAGGAGAAUGAACCGAGCCAAUUAUCAGUCCUGGCAAGGACCAUCUGUUAGAGAACGAUGGAUGGAGCCUGAUGAAUGUCAAACACUUUGAAGCUGGUGGAGAUGGACAGUUGCUCACCCAAAUGAGAAGAGAUGCAAGCUUUCUGUUCUGCGAAGGCACUCACCCAGCAUUAACAGCAUGCUGAGUAAAGCCCUUUGGCUUGGAACAGGUCUUUCCAGGGUGAAAGUCCUUCCUCUUUUUUGUGGCAGUACGUGAAUGAAGCUUUUCCACUUUUUAGGAAAUAACCCUGUUCUUUUCUUGCUAUAUCAGCAGAUGCCUGCUUAUGCUUGUGUGUUCUCACUGUCCUUGUGAACAGGCAAGUUCCUCACCGUGUUUUCAGGCUAAGUACUGAAGCACUUAGGUUUUUAAUCAGGCAAAAUGGUCACUGAAGGUCAAGUCUCUAUGGUCCCCUCUGAUGACUCGGAAAACACAGUUGCUUGGCUGUGGUUGCUUAAAUACCAUGAGUCUCAAUCUGCAUUUUGAAGAACGGGCAUCCAGAAACAGGCAGUUGCACCAGGUUUAACAUAACACCAGGGAUUAGAUUGGAUCCAAGCCUAUUCUCAGAUUUUGCCUUACAGGUCACUCUGUUAAAAUGCAAUCGUGAUCAGUGCCAGGACAAGAAAGCCUGCAUCUUUGGCACCUUACUGUGGGUGUGAGCUUGGGUGCCUAGAGCCAAAGACACUGUAGUUCAGCUUGUCUGCUCCUAAGCAGCACGGGGACAAACUGAGCCCAAGCUACUGUCCAACAGCAUGGAGAACCCUUGGAGAAGCGCUAGCUGACUGGGACUAAGCAGCAAGGGAUGCUAGAUGAUGCAGCAAAAAUGUUUUACAGCGGCUCCUCGUAUGUCAAAAGGAGGGUGAAUCCAGAAAAGAGACACUAAUGUGAUGACUAUAGCGAGAAGAAAUUCUUCAUGGUUCUCCUAGCUUUCCUGUUAGUGGGAUGUGCUUAAUAAGAUGCAUUUUUGCUCUGAAGAGUUGGUUGCGCUGAAUUAACUUCUCUAUCACUUACAAUCCCUAUUGCCACAACCCUGUACUUCUCCUGGUUCCCAUGUAUGCUCAGACUGCAAGAGCUGCUGUCACUUUAAGCUGGCCAUAUUAUCAGCUGUCAUCACCGUGGCCGUGCAAAGAGCCAGAUCAGGGAGCUGAUCCUUGUGAAAACUGCCUCAUUUAAAAAACAAAAAAACAAAAAAAAAAAAAAAAAAACCUCUGAAUUAUAGUUGGUAGCUGAAUUUGUUUCCUGCACCAGCUCACUGUGCCAGCAUAAGAGAUGACAGGAAAAUUUUAAAACCAGGAAAAAAACAAAAAAAAACCCAAGACAUUUGAGGACAAUUCCAAGGGGGACAGACACUUGCAAGGACUGAGAAACAGGUUGUUUGCCCCUGCUGUAGCAUCCACCUAUAUGCUGUGUACGGCAGCUUUUACCUGCUGAUGGCCUGACCUGGUAGCUGUAGUUGUUUGGUGAUAGCUUUUGUGCCUGAGGAACAGAGAUAUGGCUUUAAAUUAUUUUAAAUCCUUCCAAUAGACCUGCAUAUUCAGACCUCCUUACAAAGCUGUUUUGGAGACUUAGAUUUUUCCCCGCUUGUUGUGCCAAUAAGGUCAAUAAACUGCAAAUAUACCAUCA
This is an RNA transcript of Dromaius novaehollandiae (emu), 4019 nucleotides long. It is a transcript of the gene named macrophage receptor with collagenous structure, with no coding region annotated. The record is from RefSeq and is a predicted model, not a curated record. Lineage: Eukaryota; Metazoa; Chordata; Aves; Casuariiformes; Dromaiidae. The transcript is spliced from 20 exons.